ACGCACGCUGGCGGCGUGCUUCACCCAUGCAAGUCGCACGGAAAGGCCCUGCUUUUGUGGGGUGCUCGAGUGGCGAACGGGCGAGUAACACGUGAGUAACCUGCCCUUGACUUUGGGAUAACUUCAGGAAACUGGGGCUAAUACCGGAUAGGAGCUCCUGCUGCAUGGUGGGGGUUGGAAAGUUUCGGCGGUUGGGGAUGGACUCGCGGCUUAUCAGCUUGUUGGUGGGGUAGUGGCUUACCAAGGCUUUGACGGGUAGCCGGCCUGAGAGGGUGACCGGCCAUAUUGGGACUGAGAUACGGCCCAGACUCCUACGGGAGGCAGCAGUGGGGAAUAUUGCACAAUGGGCGGAAGCCUGAUGCAGCAACGCCGCGUGCGGGAUGACGGCCUUCGGGUUGUAAACCGCUUUCGCCUGUGACGAAGCGUGAGUGACGGUAAUGGGUAAAGAAGCACCGGCUAACUACGUG
RNAcentral lists this ribosomal RNA (467 nucleotides) under uncultured bacterium. RNAcentral describes it as "partial 16S ribosomal RNA". It matches the Rfam family "Bacterial small subunit ribosomal RNA", at positions 29 to 507 of the family's 1533-position model. The record is from RNAcentral.